UUUAGUAAUUGCGAAUGAACAAGGAUAUGCUUAGCUUGACAAAUGGAGCUAUUGGCUUUGAAUUGUAUUGUGGAAAUGUAUUACCAACAGAGGUGCAGGUGCCAGCCUAUUGAAAUAAAGCGUCAAUGAGGGUGAGAAUCCUGUUUGUCAUGUGCAGCCCUUUGUGCACGGUGUAUAUUUGCUGAGUCACACUCCUUGGCAUUGGAAUGCAAAGUGGGUGGUAAGUUUCAUGUAAAGGUAAACAUGCAAUUGAGACUGAUAGCACACAAGUACCAUGAGGGAAAUAUGAAAAGGACUUUGAAAAGAGAAUUAAAUGAGUUUGUAUUUGCUGAACACAAAGUAAACAGACUUGAUUUGCUUGGUGGGAGUGUUGCACUUGCUUGACAAGAGCUUUGGGCUGUGGGUGUAAUGAUUCUUUCUUUGCAUGCCAGUUUCUAUUUGUACAUCUGAUUACCUUUGCACAUGAAUGAUAAGUCUCCUGUGGGGGGUGGAUUGCAUGUGCAUGUAAUGAUUUGUGUUUUGAUAAAUGUGUCUGGUGUAUGUGUGUGUUCCUGUGCUUGGGGAUGCUUCCUUCCUUGGACUUACAAGCCCUGACACACACAUGCUGGCAAAAUGCUUCUGCUUGACCCGUCUUGAAACACGGACCAAGGAGUCUAACAGAUGUGCAAAGUUUGAAGGUGGUAUACCUUUGUGUGCAAUGAAAGUGUCAGCUGGGAUAUGUGCACCAGCACCCAAUUAAUUAGCGGACAGAGGUUUGAGUUGGAGCAUAUCUAUUAGGACCCGAAAGAUGGUGAACUAUGCCUGAACAGAAUGAAUUCAGAGGAAACUCUGAUGGAGGUUCGUAUCGAUACUGACGUGCAAAUCGUUCGUCAUAUUUGGGUAUAGGGGCGAAAGACUAAUCGAACCAUCUAGUAGCUGGUUCCCUCCGAAGUUUCCCUCAGGAUAGCUGGAGUUGCUCAGUUUUAUCAGGUAAAGCGAAUGAU
Molecule: ribosomal RNA, 983 nt
Filed under: Alexandrium catenella
Lineage: Eukaryota; Dinophyceae; Gonyaulacales; Pyrocystaceae
Description: partial large subunit ribosomal RNA
Rfam family: Eukaryotic large subunit ribosomal RNA
Source: RNAcentral